UUUUUUUAAAGCAAAGGUGACAAAGCACCUAUAAAUAUAUAUAAAAGAAGUAGUUGAUACAAAGAAGGACUACAUGUUAGAGAAUCUAUAAGAAGGCAAUCCUAUUCUAUAACUACAUAAUUCAUCUAGUAGAAAUGAAGGAGCCGAAUUCCAGCAGUUGAAGACCUUGGAAGAAAUUCCAAAACUAGCAAGUUUGUCUGCACAUUAAUUAGUGAUGAAUAGUUAAUUGUUAGAAACAAAUAAAUAAAUAAAUAAAGAACAAAAGAAUAAUAAAUUUAAGUAACAUUUAUUUAUUUACUCUCUUUCGGAUUCCUUUUAUUAACAAACCAAACUUCUUCCUUAAGGAAGGUUGGUAUUAAAGAAUAAAUAAAUGGUGAAAUGUAAAUAACAAUAAAUAAAAGUUAGUAAGUUAGCUUCAUCACUUUUGUAUAUUAAAAGGUGUUUUCAACAAAUAAAUUUAUUGAUAACACUUUACUAUUUUACAAUUUACAGAUCUUUCAAGAUUCAAUUGUAGAAUAGUAUAGGGUUAUGUCCAACCACAAGGAAUUGCCUAAUAGAAUGAAUCAUAUGAACAUGAACAUAUUUUGGUUUUGAUCUGAAUUGAAUUUCAUAUAAACAAUUGACAAGAAACUUAAACUAAAUAUUAACAAAUUCUUGAGGAGACAAGAUCAUUUUGAAUGAGGAAAAUAUUUCUCAUCUUCUUAUGAAUUUGAACUACUUAGACAAGUUCUUAUGUUUUAUUUUGAUUAACUCCAAACACCAAGUU
This 766-nucleotide long non-coding RNA is filed under the name Lupinus angustifolius (narrow-leaved blue lupine). Its description in RNAcentral is "long non-coding RNA (LANG_LNC003570)". The record is from RNAcentral. Lineage: Eukaryota; Viridiplantae; Streptophyta; Magnoliopsida; Fabales; Fabaceae.